This 1262-nucleotide ribosomal RNA is filed under the name Leptolyngbya sp. SK-3. RNAcentral describes it as "bacterial SSU rRNA". It matches the Rfam family "Bacterial small subunit ribosomal RNA", at positions 158 to 1453 of the family's 1533-position model. Lineage: Bacteria; Bacillati; Cyanobacteriota; Cyanophyceae; Leptolyngbyales; Leptolyngbyaceae. The record is from RNAcentral.
GACUGCUAAUACCGAAUGUGCCGAAAGGUGAAAGAUUUAUCGUCAAUAGAUUGGCUCGCGUCAGAUUAGGUAGUAGGUGAGGUAAAGGCUCACCUAGCCUGCGAUCUGUACUUGGUCUGAGAGGAUGGCCAGGCACACUGGAACUGAGACACGGUCCAGACUCCUACGGGAGGCAGCAGUGGGGAAUUUUCCGCAAUGGGCGAAAGCCUGACGGAGCAAUACCGCGUGAGGGAGGACGGCUUUUGGGUUGUAAACCUCUUUUAUCAGGGAAGAAUCGAUGACGGUACCUGAUGAAUCAGCAUCGGCUAACUCCGUGCCAGCAGCCGCGGUAAUACGGAGGAUGCAAGCGUUAUCCGGAAUUAUUGGGCGUAAAGCGUCCGUAGGUGGCUUAUCAAGUCUGCUGUUAAAGCGUGCGGCUUAACCGCAUAAGGGCAGUGGAAACUGAUGAGCUAGAGUGCGAUAGGGGUAACAGGAAUUCCCAGUGUAGCGGUGAAAUGCGUAGAUAUUGGGAAGAACACCAGCGGCGAAAGCGUGUUACUGGGUCUGCACUGACACUGAGGGACGAAAGCUAGGGGAGCGAAAGGGAUUAGAUACCCCUGUAGUCCUAGCCGUAAACGAUGACAACUAGGCGUGGUUCGUAUCGACCCGAGCCGUGCCGUAGCCAACGCGUUAAGUUGUCCGCCUGGGGAGUACGCACGCAAGUGUGAAACUCAAAGGAAUUGACGGGGGCCCGCACAAGCGGUGGAGUAUGUGGUUUAAUUCGAUGCAACGCGAAGAACCUUACCAAGGCUUGACAUCCUCGGAACCUCCUUGAAAGGGGAGGGUGCCUUCGGGAGCCGAGAGACAGGUGGUGCAUGGCUGUCGUCAGCUCGUGUCGUGAGAUGUUGGGUUAAGUCCCGCAACGAGCGCAACCCACGUUUUUAGUUGCCAGCAUUCAGUUGGGCACUCUAGAGAGACUGCCGGUGACAAACCGGAGGAAGGUGUGGAUGACGUCAAGUCAGCAUGCCCCUUACGCCUUGGGCUACACACGUACUACAAUGCGAUGGACAAAGAGCAGCAAGUCAGCGAUGACAAGCCAAUCUCAUAAACCAUUGCUCAGUUCAGAUUGCAGGCUGCAACUCGCCUGCAUGAAGGCGGAAUCGCUAGUAAUCGCAGGUCAGCAUACUGCGGUGAAUACGUUCCCGGGCCUUGUACACACCGCCCGUCACACCAUGGGAGUUGGUCACGCCCGAAGUCGUUACUCUAACCCGCAAGGAAGAGGA